CCUACGGGUGGCUGCAGUGGGGAAUAUUGGACAAUGGGGGGAACCCUGAUCCAGCCAUGCCGCGUGUGUGAAGAAGGCCCUCGGGUUGUAAAGCACUUUCAGUGAGGAAGAACGCCUGGUGGUUAAUACCCAUCAGGAAAGACAUCACUCACAGAAGAAGCACCGGCUAACUCCGUGCCAGCAGCCGCGGUAAUACGGAGGGUGCGAGCGUUAAUCGGAAUUACUGGGCGUAAAGCGCGCGUAGGUGGCUUGAUAAGCCGGUUGUGAAAGCCCCGGGCUCAACCUGGGAACGGCAUCCGGAACUGUCAAGCUAGAGUGCAGGAGAGGAAGGUAGAAUUCCCGGUGUAGCGGUGAAAUGCGUAGAGAUCGGGAGGAAUACCAGUGGCGAAGGCGGCCUUCUGGACUGACACUGACGCCGAGGUGCGAAAGCGUGGGUAGCCAACAGGAUUAGAUACCCGGGUAGUC
Molecule: ribosomal RNA, 465 nt
Filed under: Vreelandella stevensii
Lineage: Bacteria; Pseudomonadati; Pseudomonadota; Gammaproteobacteria; Oceanospirillales; Halomonadaceae
Description: partial 16S ribosomal RNA
Rfam family: Bacterial small subunit ribosomal RNA
Source: RNAcentral